Molecule: long non-coding RNA, 623 nt
Organism: Carica papaya (papaya)
Lineage: Eukaryota; Viridiplantae; Streptophyta; Magnoliopsida; Brassicales; Caricaceae
Source: RefSeq, a predicted model, not a curated record
UUUUGACUUUUCCUUUCAGUUUCUUUCCAACAAGGAGCUCCAUUACCAGGAAUAAAUAAAUAAAUAAAUAAAGAAUCCCUCCUACUUGUUUAAUUUGUUGUGUCUUCUUUUCUUCAUUUUUUCCAUGUUUGUGGUAUCAUUGCUUUCCCAUAUCAUGAUCCAAUCUUCUUACAUUCUUGGGCUCAAGUAUUGUCCAAGGUUCUCCGAAGACUAGACCGGCUCUAAUACCAGUGAUACACUACGAUUCAUAGAGAGAGAUAUUGCAAAACAAACUACCAAGAUACAGAGAGAGGAACAACAUCGGGUUAUAUUCCAUUUGUUAUUUUUUACAAUCUCAAUCCAGGGUCUCCAACUUUGGCAGAGUGUAUUUGUAUUGAAAUAUUGGAGAAGAUAACUCCAAUCUGAAAUCUUUCUAAAAAACACUCGAGAAAGGCCCCAGAAAAGUACGAGGUUUCCCUAUCACUUGUUUCUAAGUACUUGAGGUUCAUUUGUUAUUCACUGUAAAUAUCUGCAUUCUAGUGAACAAUAUGUAUCUAGAAUCACCAAAUGUCCAAGAUAAAUUAAAGUUUUAUACUGUAAAAUGAAAAACUUUUGGAGAUUGCCACUGAAUAGCUUGGAUAAAA